CCGAGCAUUUCGUGCAGGAACUGGCUCCCCCGCUGGCGCCCUGGGUCAACCACCAGACCCAUCAUCGCGGCCAGACUCAUGCGCUUUUGACAGGGCUUGGACAGCCGGGUCCCGAACUGGACCUGCUGUUUUUUCAGCGCGAGCAGAUCAAAUCGGCGUCAUCGCGCUGACAUGGUGGCGACACCGUUGCGGUGCAAUGGAUGGCGGUAGUCUCCCGG
RNAcentral lists this unclassified non-coding RNA (218 nucleotides) under Hevea brasiliensis (rubber tree). Lineage: Eukaryota; Viridiplantae; Streptophyta; Magnoliopsida; Malpighiales; Euphorbiaceae. The record is from RNAcentral.